AGAGUUUGAUCCUGGCUCAGAACGAACGCUGGCGGCAGGCUUAACACAUGCAAGUCGAACGCCCUCUUCGGAGGGAGUGGCAGACGGGUGAGUAACACGUGGGAAUCUACCUAUCUCUACGGAACAACACAUAGAAAUGUGUGCUAAUACCGUAUACGCCCUUAGGGGGAAAGAUUUAUCGGAGAUAGAUGAGCCCGCGUUUGAUUAGCUAGUUGGUGAGGUAAUGGCUCACCAAGGCGACGAUCAAUAGCUGGUCUGAGAGGAUGAUCAGCCACACUGGGACUGAGACACGGCCCAGACUCCUACGGGAGGCAGCAGUGGGGAAUAUUGGACAAUGAGCGCAAGCCUGAUCCAGCCAUGCCGCGUGUGUGAUGAAGGCCCUAGGGUUGUAAAGCACUUUCAACGGUGAAGAUAAUGACGGUAACCGUAGAAGAAGCCCCGGCUAACUUCGUGCCAGCAGCCGCGGUAAUACGAAGGGGGCUAGCGUUGUUCGGAAUAACUGGGCGUAAAGCGCACGUAGGCGGAUUGGAAAGUUAGAGGUGAAAUCCCAGGGCUCAACCCUGGAACUGCCUUUAAAACUAUCAGUCUAGAGGUCAAGAGAGGUGAGUGGAAUUCCGAGUGUAGAGGUGAAAUUCGUAGAUAUUCGGAGGAACACCAGUGGCGAAGGCGGCUCACUGGCUUGAUACUGACGCUGAGGUGCGAAAGUGUGGGGAGCAAACAGGAUUAGAUACCCUGGUAGUCCACGCCGUAAACGAUGUCUACUAGCCGUUGGGGUACU
This 778-nucleotide ribosomal RNA is filed under the name uncultured bacterium. RNAcentral describes it as "bacterial SSU rRNA". It matches the Rfam family "Bacterial small subunit ribosomal RNA", at positions 8 to 832 of the family's 1533-position model. The record is from RNAcentral.